UACGGGGGGGGCAAGCGUUGUUCGGAAUUACUGGGCGUAAAGGGUGCGUAGGCGGUCGGGUAAGUCUGAUGUGAAAUCUCACAGCUUAACUGUGAAACUGCAUUGGAUACUAUUCGGCUUGAGAGUUGGAGGGGGGACUGGAAUUCCUGGUGUAGCAGUGAAAUGCGUAGAUAUCAAGAGGAACACCAGUGGCGAAGGCGAGUCCCUGGACAACUUCUGACGCUGAGGCACGAAAGCUAGGGGAGCAAACAGG
Molecule: ribosomal RNA, 253 nt
Filed under: uncultured bacterium
Lineage: Bacteria
Description: partial 16S ribosomal RNA
Rfam family: Bacterial small subunit ribosomal RNA
Source: RNAcentral